Molecule: non-coding RNA, 115 nt
Organism: Triticum urartu
Lineage: Eukaryota; Viridiplantae; Streptophyta; Magnoliopsida; Poales; Poaceae
Source: Rfam
UAAAUACUCUCUCCAUUCUAAAUUACUCGUCGCAGAAAUGGAUGUAUCUAAAACUAAAAUAUAUCUAGAUACAUCCAUUUCUGCGACAAGUAAUUCGGAACGGAGGAAGUAUUUG